AAGAAGCGCCGGCUAACUACGUGCCAGCAGCCGCGGUAAUACGUAGGGCGCAAGCGUUGUCCGGAAUUAUUGGGCGUAAAGAGCUCGUAGGCGGCCAGUUGCGUCCGCUGUGAAAUCGGGGCUUAACCCCGGGCCUACAGUGGAUACGGGCUGGCUAGAGGCAGGCAGGGGAGAACGGAAUUCCUGGUGUAGCGGUGAAAUGCGCAGAUAUCAGGAGGAACACCGGUGGCGAAGGCGGUUCUCUGGGCCUGAUCUGACGCUGAGGAGCGAAAGCGUGGGGAGCGAACAGGAUUAGAUACCCUGGUAGUCCACGCUGUAAACGUUGGGCGCUAGGUGUGGGGUCCUUCCACGGACUCUGUGCCGCAGCUAACGCAUUAAGCGCCCCGCCUGGGGAGUACGGCCGCAAGGCUAAAACUC
This 417-nucleotide ribosomal RNA is filed under the name uncultured actinomycete. Its description in RNAcentral is "bacterial SSU rRNA". It matches the Rfam family "Bacterial small subunit ribosomal RNA", at positions 485 to 902 of the family's 1533-position model. Lineage: Bacteria; Bacillati; Actinomycetota; Actinomycetes; Actinomycetales. The record is from RNAcentral.